RNAcentral lists this ribosomal RNA (427 nucleotides) under uncultured bacterium. RNAcentral describes it as "partial 16S ribosomal RNA". It matches the Rfam family "Bacterial small subunit ribosomal RNA", at positions 355 to 774 of the family's 1533-position model. The record is from RNAcentral.
UGGGGAAUAUUGGACAAUGGGCGAAAGCCUGAUCCAGCCAUGCCGCGUGUGUGAAGAAGGUCUUCGGAUUGUAAAGCACUUUAAGUUGGGAGGAAGGGCAUUAACCUAAUACGUUAGUGUUUUGACGUUACCGACAGAAUAAGCACCGGCUAACUCUGUGCCAGCAGCCGCGGUAAUACAGAGGGUGCAAGCGUUAAUCGGAAUUACUGGGCGUAAAGCGCGCGUAGGUGGUUUGUUAAGUUGGAUGUGAAAUCCCCGGGCUCAACCUGGGAACUGCAUUCAAAACUGACUGACUAGAGUAUGGUAGAGGGUGGUGGAAUUUCCUGUGUAGCGGUGAAAUGCGUAGAUAUAGGAAGGAACAACAGUGGCGAAGGCGACCACCUGGACUAAUACUGACACUGAGGUGCGAAAGCGUGGGGAGCAAACA